RNAcentral lists this ribosomal RNA (350 nucleotides) under Isocheles sawayai. RNAcentral's name for it is "partial large subunit ribosomal RNA". The stretch from base 218 to 350 matches the Rfam family "Bacterial large subunit ribosomal RNA", at positions 2473 to 2606 of the family's 2925-position model. Lineage: Eukaryota; Metazoa; Arthropoda; Malacostraca; Decapoda; Diogenidae. The record is from RNAcentral.
GAAAAGGCUUAAAUAAACUAAAAAGACGAUAAGACCCUAUAAAUCUUGACGGUAAAAUUAAUUCUUUUUUAAUUUGUUAGUUUAAAGAAAUAAUUUAAUUAUACGUUUGGUUGGGGCGACAUAAAUAUAAAAUAGUUAACUGUUUAAGUAUUAAAACAAUGAUUGUUGAAUAAAUAAUGAUCCUGUUGUAGAGAUUAAAAGACUAAGUUACUUUAGGGAUAACAGCGUUAUUCUUUUUGAGAGUUCUUAUUAAAAAAAGAGUUUGCGACCUCGAUGUUGAAUUAAAAGUUCUUUAUGGUGCAGCAGCUAUAUAAGAAAGUCUGUUCGACUUUUAAACUUUUACAUGAUUU